Molecule: long non-coding RNA, 435 nt
Filed under: Fukomys damarensis (Damara mole-rat)
Lineage: Eukaryota; Metazoa; Chordata; Mammalia; Rodentia; Bathyergidae
Description: lncRNA (ENSFDAG00000024287.1)
Source: RNAcentral
CUCCUCGGGGGGAGGGGGGAGAUUGACUGGGGCUGGUUGCCAUGGUGACACAGAAUGCUGACAUCCUCGCCUCGUGCUGCUCCUCCGAGGGAAGGUUUUCUUCGUUCUUCCUUCUUGGUGGAGGAGGGGAAAGGUAGGUAUGGUCCGCCGGGAAGGUAGCCUGGGAUCCCAAACAGCUUUUCCUUUCAGUGCUUCUGAUAGCACCUGGUAGACAGCGAGGUAGCUGAUGUUUGCUGUUAUUAUUUCAUGACUACCCAUGCCACGAUCACCGUUACUUCACCAUCGUCACCGUCACCAUCCCCAGGAGAUUCCGGCCGCUUCAUGGAGGAAAGAGCUUUUGGCAAAACAAAGGAGAAUGAAGUCCCCAUCCUGACGCCAUCACUUCAGCAAAACUCCAGACAUAUAAUUAAUGGUAAAUAAAUGUGAGCUACUGGU